GACGAACGCUGGCGGCGUGCUUAACACAUGCAAGUCGAACGGAAAGGCCCUGCUUGCAGGGUGCUCGAGUGGCGAACGGGUGAGUAACACGUGGGUGAUCUGCCCCUUAUUUUGGGAUAAGCCUAGGAAACUGGGUCUAAUACUGGAUAGGACCAUGCUGUAGGUGGUGUGGUGGAAAGAUUAGUUUCGGUAAGGGAUGAGCUCGCGGCCUAUCAGCUUGUUGGUGGGGUAAUGGCCUACCAAGGCGUCGACGGGUAGCCGGCCUGAGAGGGUGGACGGCCACAUUGGGACUGAGAUACGGCCCAGACUCCUACGGGAGGCAGCAGUGGGGAAUAUUGCACAAUGGGCGCAAGCCUGAUGCAGCGACGCCGCGUGGGGGAUGACGGCCUUCGGGUUGUAAACUCCUUUCAGCCAUGACGAAGCCCUUGUGGUGACGGUAGUGGUAGAAGAAGCACCGGCUAACUACGUG
This 469-nucleotide ribosomal RNA is filed under the name uncultured bacterium. RNAcentral's name for it is "partial 16S ribosomal RNA". It matches the Rfam family "Bacterial small subunit ribosomal RNA", at positions 28 to 507 of the family's 1533-position model. The record is from RNAcentral.